Molecule: ribosomal RNA, 588 nt
Filed under: uncultured bacterium
Lineage: Bacteria
Description: bacterial SSU rRNA
Rfam family: Bacterial small subunit ribosomal RNA
Source: RNAcentral
CCUACGGGAGGCAGCAGUGGGGAAUUUUGGACAAUGGGGGCAACCCUGAUCCAGCCAUGCCGCGUGAGUGAAGAAGGCCUUCGGGUUGUAAAGCUCUUUCGGCGGGGAAGAAAUGGCAACGGCUAAUAUCCGUUGUUGAUGACGGUACCCGCAUAAGAAGCACCGGCUAACUACGUGCCAGCAGCCGCGGUAAUACGUAGGGUGCGAGCGUUAAUCGGAAUUACUGGGCGUAAAGCGUGCGCAGGCGGUUUCGUAAGACAGACGUGAAAUCCCCGGGCUCAACCUGGGAACUGCGUUUGUGACUGCGAGGCUAGAGUACGGCAGAGGGGGGUAGAAUUCCACGUGUAGCAGUGAAAUGCGUAGAGAUGUGGAGGAAUACCGAUGGCGAAGGCAGCCCCCUGGGUUAGUACUGACGCUCAUGCACGAAAGCGUGGGGAGCAAACAGGAUUAGAUACCCUGGUAGUCCACGCCCUAAACGAUGUCAACUAGGUGUUGGAAGGGUUAAACCUUUUAGUACCGCAGCUAACGCGUGAAGUUGACCGCCUGGGGAGUACGGCCGCAANGGUUAAACUCAAAGGAAUUUGACGG